CCCCUCCUCCCCGCACGACCUAUCUCGCCCCCUUCUCCUCACACGUCUCUCGCCCCCUCCUCCCGCGCCGUUCGCCGCCCCGCCGUUCCUCCCGCACCCUUGCGCCGCCAUUAGCCACAGGAUCCGCCCUGCCGCGCGCGGAGACGCCUCCAGCAGCUGCCGCCGAUGCCGUAACCUCCCCCUGCCUCUACCCCAGGCGCGAGGAACCUACCUCCCGAAGCAACCGGAGCGGCAAAGCGGCGGAUGAAUGGAGAGAUGGCGUCUGUGGCGGCGGGGAAGGAGAUGGCGCGGGCGUCCUACAUCCAGAUCAAGCACGAGGAGGAGCGGCGAGGGCCCGAGGGCCGGUUCUUCUCCGUCACACGCGCGCCGAUGUCGCCGCGCGUCGACCAGAUCCUCGCCGGGCGCGCCUCCUUCGCCGACCUUGCUGCACAGCACUCCGGCUGCUCCUUCGCCCGCCGCGGCAGCAACCUAGAACCAAUUGAUUUGCAGAAGAUGACAUGAAUCGGAAGGGUAAUCAGUGCCGCCAACGGAAGGCUCGGCAGUGCUGAUCACCAGAGCUAGACUACUGGCAGUGCCAUCCAAAUCCUCGGUGACGCUCAAGGGUGACCAUAGUAGCAUAUAUUCAGCCCAAAUACAGUGCUGUCAUCAAACGCCGUCUGCAAUUUUCUAGCUCCAGGAAUUUCGACCGUCCUACAAGAAGAAUCAGUUGAGAAGCUGCAGUGCUAGGACUGGUUGUUGCCCAAAGAGAUGAUAUGACCAUCAGUUUAUGGUCUUUUUGAGCUUGAUGUUUCUGUAUUGGAGAAAUGAAGUCUUCGGCAUGUACACGGUGUAAACAAUCAUUGGAAAAGGCGAGAUGAAGAUAAGAGGAGCAUAUAGAAGUUUCUGAUUUGUAUAGGAGGCCUUGUUGGUAUGAUUUAUUUUCCUGAUGGUAUAUUCAUCUCAUUAGGAAGGCCUUGUUGUGUGGCUUUGGUCUUCCUAAAUUUGUGUGUGGAUUUUUCUCUUUUCUUUUUAGCUUUGUGAAACAAUGACUAUCCUAGUGCAAGAUCUACUCAUGGAUAUUUCCUUAUUGUACAGUUUUCCAUUUUAAAAUAGUAGACAUUUCUCCAUUGUUGAGAUGUUGAUAGGACAAGUUUAAUAGAUUGUUUAUCUUACCAGGACUAAGAUUAGCCUGGAGAAAGUGUGGCUUGCAUGCCAUCUAUGUCAUACACAAAUUAUUAAAUUUUCUUUCUUCAUUUUUUGUUCAUGAAUGUUGCACUCUUGGAGAUGAGACUCAGAAUGGAUGCAUAAUGGUCCUGGCUACUGGCGAGCUUGAAGCAAGUGGUGCGUGUUGUGACUCCCACUGUGGCGCUGUAGUCGACUCCAUCAAUUCAAAUUCUGAAGAUAACAUGUAGCCUGAAUCCAAGAGGGAACAAAUCCAGUUGUUACAAGACUGCGUUCUGUUUUGCAUAUUUUGUUGACAGUUUGCAUCUCUGCCAUGUUCAUCUUGGAUUAUGAUUUCUUUUUCAUCUGCUCCCACUUAUAUAUGUAUUAUAAGUCCUUCGAAGUACACAGAAUAAAUCAGACAUUCUGAAAUCUUUAGUAUAC
Molecule: ribosomal RNA, 1584 nt
Filed under: Triticum aestivum (bread wheat)
Lineage: Eukaryota; Viridiplantae; Streptophyta; Magnoliopsida; Poales; Poaceae
Description: partial small subunit ribosomal RNA
Source: RNAcentral